Phasianus colchicus (ring-necked pheasant) is the source of this 760-nucleotide long non-coding RNA. The record is from Ensembl. NCBI's taxonomy places the organism in Eukaryota, Metazoa, Chordata, Aves, Galliformes, Phasianidae.
CCCCACCCCCCCCACAGCCCCGCAUCCCCCCACAUCCCCCGUCCCGAUGCCGCAGGCUGCCCCACGUUCCUGGACAUCGUCAUCCUGCUGGACGGCUCCAACAGCAUCUACCCCUGGCACGAGGUGCAGCGCUUCCUGCAGGCGCUGCUGGCGCGCUUCUUUGUGGGGCCGCAGCAGAGCCAGGUGGGACAUGGGGGGGGGGACACGGGGACACCCCCAGUGCCACCUUCCUUUGGGGGUCCGGGGGUCCCCAGGUGGCGGUGCUGCAGUAUGGGGGCCGUUUGGGGGCCAUUUGGGGUCCAUUUGGGAGCCAUUUGGGGUCCAUUUGGGGUCCAUUUGGGAGCCAUUUGGGGGCCAUUUGGGGUCUGUUGGUCCCCAGGUGGUGGUGCUGCAGUAUGGGGUCCAUUUGGGGUCCAUUUGUGGUCCAUGGGUCCCCCAGGUGGCGAUGUUGAAGUAUGAGGUCCAUUUGGGGCCCAAUUGGGGUCCAUUUGUGUCCCCAGGUGGCGGUGCUGCAGUAUGGGGGCCAUUUGGGGUCCAUUUGGGAGCAUUUUGGGGUCCAUUUGGAGUCCAUUUGGGGUCUGUGGGUCCCCAGGUGGUGGUGCUGCAGUAUGGGGUCCAUUUGGGGUCCAUUUGGGGUCCAUUUGGGAGCAUUUUGGGGUCCAUUUGGAGUCCAUUUGGGGGCCAUUUGGAGUCCAUUUGGGGGCCAUUUGGGGUCCAUUUGGGAGCCAUUUGGGGGCCAUUUGUGGUCCAUGGGUCCCCA